This 1011-nucleotide long non-coding RNA is filed under the name Numida meleagris (helmeted guineafowl). Its description in RNAcentral is "lncRNA (ENSNMEG00000011743.1)". The record is from RNAcentral. Lineage: Eukaryota; Metazoa; Chordata; Aves; Galliformes; Numididae.
GUGCAGUAUAGUUGAGAAUAUGCUUCUGCAGCUUGGAAAAUGAGCAGGAACACCAACUCACUCAACUAUUAUCGUAUGUAAAACAUCUUUGUAUUUGCAAUUACUGGGAGAAGUGACAGGACAGUACCCAACUGGGAAAACUGGAAGCUGCUGAAAUUAAUUAAGUGUUCCCAUGGCUUGGCUUGAAGGAUGUGAAAUGUUCCACGAAGCCAACAAGCUAGUAUCAUCAGCAAGCAGUAUUCCAGUGUUCAGAUACACACAGCCACAACUACACCAGCAGCAGUGCAAACAGGUUGCAUAAUAGCACAUUUCUGUCCGGUCUCUGCUACUUCUGGCACACAACUACCAAGCUACCAAGGAAGAAUAUUGUAGUUACACAAUAUAAAAAUGGCUUUCAAAAUUACAUCAUUUAUUUUCAUUUAUAAUUUACACCUUUCCAGUUGCAUUUUAAUUCAUUGUCACUUGUGAACCCUGAACUCCUGCAAAGUUUGGAAUAGCAAGUUUUUAUUUGCUUUCUUUGUUCCACUUCUUUUCACUUCACUGCUACCGUAUACUAGAUCAAUUGGGACAUUAGGAUGAUGUCAUGUUUCCAAUAAUUCCUACUCAUACAGUCUUCUCACAACUAUUUUUCAAAGCAUCCUAGAGUGGUUUGGGAGAGUUUUAGAUAAGCUGUAGAUAAUUGGUUGAUUUUAAAAUCCAGGGGAUUUCAGCCUGCUCUGUUGCAUUUCCAGCCAACCCCAAGAAACUAGUUACUGAACAAGUUGCCUCGCUGAUCCCUUCACUUCACUUGUUCUUCUCAAGAAGUGUAACAUAGUCACUGAAUCUACCUCUGCUGCACUAUGAUAAUGCUAUGACAGCAUUAUCACCGCAUGUUUAUGAUGGUUUUGGAGUGCAGGCAGCAGAUUUUCAGAGCUCAGCUGAUAUACAGCUCCCUUCUCAGCCAGGGUGACCCAGGCACCUGUGACUGCGUUGAUGAAUAAAUAGAAAUAAAUUCUGCUGAAGUUUCUGUAA